CUUUCCUUGACGACGACUGGCGCACGGGUGAGUAACGCGUAUCCAACCUUCCCAUGACCACGGGAUAACCCGUUGAAAGACGGCCUAAUACCGUAUGACGUCGUUUGCCGACAUCGAAAGACGACCAAAGGUUUGGCGGUGAUGGAUGGGGAUGCGUCUGAUUAGCUUGUUGGCGGGGUAACGGCCCACCAAGGCUACGAUCAGUAGGGGUUCUGAGAGGAAGGUCCCCCACAUUGGAACUGAGACACGGUCCAAACUCCUACGGGAGGCAGCAGCC
RNAcentral lists this ribosomal RNA (277 nucleotides) under uncultured Prevotella sp. Its description in RNAcentral is "partial 16S ribosomal RNA". It matches the Rfam family "Bacterial small subunit ribosomal RNA", at positions 79 to 355 of the family's 1533-position model. Lineage: Bacteria; Pseudomonadati; Bacteroidota; Bacteroidia; Bacteroidales; Prevotellaceae. The record is from RNAcentral.